AACGAACGCUGGCGGCGUGUUUAAGACAUGCAAGUCGCACGGGAUCAUUUUGGUAGCAAUACUCGGAUGGUCCAGUGGCGCACGGGUGAGUAACACGUGAAUGACAUGCCCUUCAGUGGGGGAUAGCCCAGGGAAACUUGGAUUAAUACCCCAUGGUCUCGCGAGAGUAAAGGUGGCGCGAGCUGCCGCUGGAGGAUUGGUUCGCGUUCUAUCAGCUUGUUGGCGGGGUAACGGCCCACCAAGGCUACGACGGAUACCUGGUCUGAGAGGACGAUCAGGCACACAGGAACUGAGACACGGUCCAGACACCUACGGGUGGCAGCAGUCGAGAAUAAUUCACAAUGGGGGCAACCCUGAUGGUGCAACGCCGCGUGGAGGAUGAAGGUCUUCGGAUUGUAAACUCCUGUCAUCCGGGAGCAAGACCUGCCGGUCAAUAGCCGACAGGGUUGAUAGUACCGGAAGAGGAAGGGACGGCUAACUUCGUGCCAGCCGCCGCAGUAA
This 501-nucleotide ribosomal RNA is filed under the name uncultured bacterium. Its description in RNAcentral is "partial 16S ribosomal RNA". It matches the Rfam family "Bacterial small subunit ribosomal RNA", at positions 29 to 523 of the family's 1533-position model. The record is from RNAcentral.